RNAcentral lists this ribosomal RNA (497 nucleotides) under uncultured bacterium. RNAcentral's name for it is "partial 16S ribosomal RNA". It matches the Rfam family "Bacterial small subunit ribosomal RNA", at positions 28 to 507 of the family's 1533-position model. The record is from RNAcentral.
GAUGAACGCUGGCGGCGUGCCUAAUACAUGCAAGUCGAGCGAACAGAUGAGGAGCUUGCUCCUCUGACGUUAGCGGCGGACGGGUGAGUAACACGUGGAUAACCUACCUAUAAGACUGGGAUAACUUCGGGAAACCGGAGCUAAUACCGGAUAAUAUAUUGAACCGCAUGGUUCAAUAGUGAAAGACGGUUUUGCUGUCACUUAUAGAUGGAUCCGCGCCGCAUUAGCUAGUUGGUAAGGUAACGGCUUACCAAGGCAACGAUGCGUAGCCGACCUGAGAGAGUGAUCGGCCACACUGGAACUGAGACACGAUCCAGACUCCUACGGGAGGCAGCAGUAGGGAAUCGUCCGCAAUGGGCGAAAGCCUGACAGAGCAACGCCGCGUGAGUGAUGAAGGUCUUCGGAUCGUAAAACUCUGUUAUUAGGGAAGAACAAAUGUGUAAGUAACUAUGCACGUCUUGACGGUACCUAAUCAGAAAGCCACGGCUAACUACGUG